This 1059-nucleotide long non-coding RNA is filed under the name Apteryx haastii (Great spotted kiwi). RNAcentral describes it as "lncRNA (ENSAHAG00000015839.1)". The record is from RNAcentral. Lineage: Eukaryota; Metazoa; Chordata; Aves; Apterygiformes; Apterygidae.
AUGGUGGUGCGAUGCAGAAUGGAGACACAGGAGUGGAAUAUUUCCAUGUGGUAUAACAAUAUGCACAAUGUACACAAUUUUCCUGCCUUGCCACUGCAGCCACAAGAACUUGACUUAUUGGGAAUUACACAGGCUGCAGUCUGCUUUUAUCUAAAUUAUACUGCAAGGGCACCUACCAAAGAGGGUGACGUUGAUGUAUCUCCCUCAGGCAUUUAUGCCAAUACAUCUGUAUGGUGUAAUCACACCACCUCAGGUCAAAUAACACCUGGACCACAACCCAUAGGGUUGGCUGCUAAGAUAUUCUUAAUUUGUGGUCAGAGAGCCUGGAAAGGCGUACCAGGUAAAGCUGUGGGGGGACCAUGUAUCUUUGGACUUUUGACAAUAUUCCAUCCCGAAAAAUGGUUAAUUGACGGAACGGUCCAUCUUCGAGCAAAGCGAUCCACCCACAGCUUUACGUCAGGUUGCGAUAGUAACGUAGAAUUUUGGAAUCCAGCAGAACGUAUCUUGAGUAGUAUUUUUGCAGGAAUAGGGACUGCUCAUGCUUUAUCACAACUUAACAGAUUAGGAUGCUGGCUUGCAAAAGAAGCAAAUGCUACUAGUACUGCUUUAAGCGCCUUAUUAACAGACAUAGAUUCAAUUAGAUACACCACCUUACAAAAUCGGGCUGCAACUGACUUUUUGCCAUUGGCCCAAGGCCAUGGCUGUCAGGACUUUGAGGGAAUGUGUUGUAUGAACCUGAGUGAUCAUUCUGAGUCAGUACAUACAAGCAUUGCAAAAUUGAAGGAGUUAACAAAACAACUGCAAGAAGACRAUGGUGAAAACUUGUGGGGACUGUUUGAUUGGUUGAAUAUGCUUGCUAUAGGGCCCUGGUUGGCGACGGGACUAAAACAGCUGAUUACCGUAGGUGUCGUGGGUAUGCUCCUAUUGAUUUGUGGGCCUUGCAUACUGCAAUGCAUCCUAGCUCRGGUACAGAAAAUGGUUGAUCUAUUAUUUGAAAGAAGAGGGGGAGGUGUUGAGGCCCUUGCGGUGCUUCAGAACAAUAAUCUAUAUGAGUUAUAG